GUUGAGUGCCUUGCACACUUUUGUUCUUCCCUGUUCUUCAAGGACUUGUGAAGAGAUCCUCUGGGAUCCCCUAAUUCGUGCUCUUGGUUUUCGAGUCUUUUGUGUGGAUUAGUCUUGGAUCGUGGUUCUGCGGUCGUUUGGAGAUCGAGUCGAAGUCCUUAAGGUUUCAGUGUCUUUCUCCCCGUCGCUUGGUCGCAUCCAACCUUGGUCAGGUAUUAAGCAAGUUAUCCCCACUGAAAUCAACGUACAGUUCAGUAUAUACAUCCGUUCCAUAUUUCCACGACGACACAUCUAUUUAUAUCAAGUACAUUUUCGUGUAAUUUUAGUAGUGCACAGUGGAUCAGUGGGGGAAAACCAUUAUAGCCAUCGACAAUGUCUUAUUCUCCUGCA
Molecule: long non-coding RNA, 390 nt
Filed under: Oryza brachyantha (malo sina)
Lineage: Eukaryota; Viridiplantae; Streptophyta; Magnoliopsida; Poales; Poaceae
Description: long non-coding RNA (OBRA_LNC000828)
Source: RNAcentral